This 568-nucleotide ribosomal RNA is filed under the name uncultured bacterium. Its description in RNAcentral is "partial 16S ribosomal RNA". It matches the Rfam family "Bacterial small subunit ribosomal RNA", at positions 355 to 1375 of the family's 1533-position model. The record is from RNAcentral.
UGGGGAAUAUUGCACAAUGGGCGCAAGCCUGAUGCAGCGACGCCGCGUGAGGGAUGACGGCCUUCGGGUUGUAAACCUCUUUCAAUAGGGACGAAGCGCAAGUGACGGUACCUAUAGAAGAAGGACCGGCCAACUACGUGCCAGCAGCCGCGGUAAUACGUAGGGUCCGAGCGUUGUCCGGAAUUACUGGGCGUAAAGAGCUCGUAGGUGGUUUGUCGCGUUGUUCGUGAAAACUCACAGCUUAACUGUGGGCGUGCGGGCGAUACGGGCAGACUAGAGUACUGCAGGGGAGACUGGAAUUCCUGGUGUAGCGGUGGAAUGCGCAGAUAUCAGGAGGAACACCGGUGGCGAAGGCGGGUCUCUGGGCAGUAACUGACGCUGAGGAGCGAAAGCGUGGGGAGCGAACAGGAUUAGAUACCCUGGUAGUCCACGCCGUAAACGGUGGGUACUAGGUGUGGGUUUCCUUCCUUGGGAUCCGUGCCGUAGCUAACGCAUUAAGUACCCCGCCUGGGGAGUACGGCCGCAAGGCUAAACUUAAAUGAAUUGACGGGGUCAUAGCUGUUUUCCU